UCCUCACAUUUCACACACGCCAGCCGAACAUCAUCAUUCAAACUAAUUUUCACUUUUUAAUUGACAAAUCUUCAAACAACUUUCGAAACUGUGAGAUGUUUCGCUUUCUCACCAUAUCACUUGUUUUCGCUGGGG
Molecule: non-coding RNA, 135 nt
Organism: Caenorhabditis elegans
Lineage: Eukaryota; Metazoa; Nematoda; Chromadorea; Rhabditida; Rhabditidae
Source: Ensembl